UACUAACAGUGGAAUAUGUAAAUGCUAUUACAAAAACAGAUAUAUUUAGCUGUUUGUAUAUAUAUACACACAUACGCACAUACAGCUGUACAUCUGUACAUAUAUGCACAAAUAGCUAAAUAUAUCUGGUUUAGUAAUAGCAUUUACAUAUUCCUCUGUUAGUAUAUUUCUCCUGGGGUAACUGAUACACACACACACACACACACACACACACACACACACACACACACAGGAAAAACUGAAUUGGGUGGAUACACUAGCAGACUAGCAGUAGAAUUUUAUCUCUGCAUAAUUUGGAUGCGUUGAGAAAAAAAGGAAGUCACUGAAAGAAUAAGGAAAAUAGAGCUCUCUACUAACGUGGAUAAAUCUGCAAAGGAGAGGGAAAUUGUUAAAGGAAGAUAAGAACAUGGAAGUGAUUGAUGAAAUUGACAACAUGAGGGAGUUUUGAGACUUGCACAUGGGUAGUAUCCAGUGAGUUGUGGGAAAUGUAAUUCAAGGAAGAUGAAUUGAAAAAUGAACAAAAAUUUCCAAAAACAGGAGUGCAGAAAAACGCAUCAAGGGAACUAUGACGCCAAGGGAGAAUUUAUUCAUAAGAUGCUGGAAUUAGUAGAGUAUCCUUGGAUACUGGUGGGAGUGACCCAUGGAGGAAAGGCUGAUGAUGGAGAGAAGGGCUAAUUGCAGGAGUGAGAUCCUUCAGAAAGAGUGAUGAGAUGCUAUCCUAAAGGAAUCUGAUAAGGAAAUGAAAAAUGAAUCAUACAUUUGUAACAAGACAGAACACCGAGAUUAUAGAUAUGGAUGUCAGCUUAUUACAAAUUUCAGGAUGGGAGAUUUUCAACUUUAUCAGUGAAGUGUGAUGCAAGAUCAUCAGCUAAGAAUGUUGGGAGUGGGAGCCUUCGGGCCAGAGGAGAAGGCACUUCUCUGAAAAUGAAGAACCAGAAGAAGAUGGGCAUAGGGAAGGAAUCAGAAUUAUUAAGAUGGUGAUGGCUUGGUCUGGGAAUUCAUGUCAAGGAACGGAGGAGCCUUGAUUAUAGGAUGCAGGUUGGUAUAUUUAAUCUCACUCUUACAUAUAAUGCCAUCACUGUAUAAUCACACACACACACACAAUGGGAAUACAAAUCAUGAAACAUCAACAGAAAUGUAACAGCAAAAGAUAAUGUAUGUUUUCUAGACUUGUACCCUGGUUGUGAUUCUAAAAUUUCCUGGCUUCAGAAAGUGGCAUUGGUCUGAUUCAGGUUUAUUCUUGGCUCCCACAUGAAAACAGCAGGCCCAGCCAAAGGCUAAAUUAUGAAUCUUUCAAGUUUGACUUUGGCAAGGCUCCUCCUUUCAGCACUUUCCUCAACUCCAGGACAAAGUGGGGGCUGGGGGAAGAAUGGGGAGGUGUUGACUAAAAAAAGACAAGGCUGUGUGAAGACAUUUUUUUCCAGCAAUAGGGAUGUGAGGAAAUGAUGCAGGACACACCAUCUCUUGGGGUGCAAAUUUCCUACUUUGAGAAACACUGCCUUAAGAGAUAGCUCCAAAAUGUGUUCCCUUUUCUUGUAGGACUAUAGCUGAUGAAAGCAUUUCACCCAGACCCGGAUCAGUGAGAGGGA
Molecule: long non-coding RNA, 1589 nt
Filed under: Papio anubis (olive baboon)
Lineage: Eukaryota; Metazoa; Chordata; Mammalia; Primates; Cercopithecidae
Description: lncRNA (ENSPANG00000047591.1)
Source: RNAcentral